Molecule: non-coding RNA, 220 nt
Filed under: Thermoclostridium stercorarium
Lineage: Bacteria; Bacillati; Bacillota; Clostridia; Eubacteriales; Oscillospiraceae
Description: Clostridium stercorarium T-box sequence
Rfam family: T-box leader
About the family: Uncharged tRNA acts as the effector for transcription antitermination of genes in the T-box leader family. T-boxes are found upstream of many aminoacyl-tRNA synthetase genes and some amino acid biosynthetic genes usually in Gram-positive bacteria.
Source: RNAcentral
GCAGUGACGGUGAAGGAGAGGAGUAGGCAAAAACAGGCCGCCAGAGAGUAUACGCCGUAGGGUGGAAGCGUAUUCGGUAUCUGUUUUGUCGAAGUCGCUCCGGAGUCGCACGGCUGAACUUGAAGUAAGCCGGCCGGGUGGAAUCCGUUAUCGUUCCAUAGAGUGUCCUGUCAAAAGGGAAUUUUGGUGGUACCGCGGAAGAGAUCCUUUCGUCCAAAAG